GCUUCGCUGUUUUGCUUGCGAGAAAUUCAAGCAAAUCAUCAUCAUCAAGUAAAUCCCGAACAGUAAUCCCGUUCGAUAAGGUAAUUCCAACUUUCCAUAUUGGUAAUUUUACAGAUUUAUUCAAUUUUUAAGAUUUUUUCCACUUGGGCUUUUAGAAUGACAGGCCCAAGUCUUUUGGACCAGAUGGAGGAGCUGGAAAUAGCAAUAAACAAUCUUCAAAAUUUAUUCAAAUGUGAAAUUUAUGUUGAAGACCUUCAAGAUCCUGUUACAACUUGGUGCGGUCACAUGUUUUCUACAAUGCGCAUCAAGAGAGUUCACACAAUUAGAACUCGUAGCUACAACGUCGUGUCAGGA
Nilaparvata lugens (brown planthopper) is the source of this 354-nucleotide long non-coding RNA. RefSeq lists it as uncharacterized. NCBI's taxonomy places the organism in Eukaryota, Metazoa, Arthropoda, Insecta, Hemiptera, Delphacidae. The transcript is spliced from 3 exons. The record is from RefSeq and is a predicted model, not a curated record.